AUUGAACGCUGGCGGCAGGCCUAACACAUGCAAGUCGAGCGGAUGAAGGGAGCUUGCUCCUGGAUUCAGCGGCGGACGGGUGAGUAAUGCCUAGGAAUCUGCCUGGUAGUGGGGGAUAACGUCCGGAAACGGGCGCUAAUACCGGAUACGUCCUGCGGGAGAAAGUGGGGGAUCUUCGGACCUCACGCUAUCAGAUGAGCCUAGGUCGGAUUAGCUUGUUGGUGGGGUAAAGGCCUACCACGGCGACGAUCCGUAACUGGUCUGAGAGGAUGAUCAGUCACACUGGAACUGAGACACGGUCCAGACUCCUACGGGAGGCAGCAGUGGGGAAUAUUGGACAAUGGGCGAAAGCCUGAUCCAGCCAUGCCGCGUGUGUGAAGAAGGUCUUCGGAUUGUAAAGCACUUUACGUUGGGAGGAAGGGCAGUAAGUUAAUACCUUGCUGUUUUGACGUUACCAACAGAAUAAGCACCGGCUAACUUCGUG
This 484-nucleotide ribosomal RNA is filed under the name uncultured bacterium. RNAcentral describes it as "partial 16S ribosomal RNA". It matches the Rfam family "Bacterial small subunit ribosomal RNA", at positions 30 to 507 of the family's 1533-position model. The record is from RNAcentral.